RNAcentral lists this transfer RNA (62 nucleotides) under Artemia parthenogenetic lineage. RNAcentral's name for it is "tRNA-Thr". Lineage: Eukaryota; Metazoa; Arthropoda; Branchiopoda; Anostraca; Artemiidae. The record is from RNAcentral. RNAcentral also lists the same sequence under 3 other names.
GACUGUGUAAUUAAAAAAUAAUAUUGGUCUUGUAAACCAAAUUUAGAGGAAUCUCUCAGUCU